CAAAAUUGCCCUAAGGAAGGUUAGCUUGAUUAGUGGAACAUCAAGACCAUCAAAAAAGAGAGACAAUUAUUAACAUCUAUGGAGUGAAGAACAAGAAGCCAUUAAGUGAAUUGACUCCCUCAGCUGCCUGAACAGUAAUGGAACAGCUGCUGCACUGUGGAGAAGGAAUCAAAGCAAGGUGCUCCCAAAGCUGG
Gavialis gangeticus (Gharial) is the source of this 194-nucleotide long non-coding RNA. RefSeq lists it as uncharacterized. The record is from RefSeq and is a predicted model, not a curated record. The transcript has 3 exons. NCBI's taxonomy places the organism in Eukaryota, Metazoa, Chordata, Crocodylia, Gavialidae.